GAUGAACGCUAGCGACAGGCUUAACACAUGCAAGUCGAGGGGCAGCGGGGAUUGUAGCAAUACAAUUUGCCGGCGACCGGCGCACGGGUGAGUAACGCGUAUGCAACCUACCUAUCAGAGGGGGAUAGCCCAUUGAAAGAUGGAUUAAUACCGCAUAAAACAGGGAUUCCGCAUGGAAAUAUUUGUUAAAGAUUUAUUGCUGAUAGAUGGGCAUGCGUUCCAUUAGUUAGUUGGUAAGGUAACGGCUUACCAAGACAUCGAUGGAUAGGGGUUCUGAGAGGAAGGUCCCCCACACUGGUACUGAGACACGGACCAGACUCCUACGGGAGGCAGCAGUGAGGAAUAUUGGUCAAUGGACGCAAGUCUGAACCAGCCAAGUCGCGUGAAGGAUGACUGCCCUAUGGGUUGUAAACUUCUUUUGUACAGGAAUAAAACGUCUUACGUGUAAGAUUUUGUAUGUACUGUACGAAUAAGCAUCGGCUAACUCCGUGCCAGCCGCCGCGGUAAAAC
Molecule: ribosomal RNA, 510 nt
Filed under: uncultured bacterium
Lineage: Bacteria
Description: bacterial SSU rRNA
Rfam family: Bacterial small subunit ribosomal RNA
Source: RNAcentral